GGCCUGAUGGCGGAGAAGUCACGCAGCGGUCUGCAAAACCGCGUACGCCGGUGCGAUUCCGGCUCAGGCCUCCA
This 74-nucleotide transfer RNA is filed under the name Candidatus Berkelbacteria bacterium RIFCSPHIGHO2_12_FULL_36_9. Its description in RNAcentral is "tRNA-Cys". It matches the Rfam family "tRNA". From Rfam's summary of the family: Transfer RNA (tRNA) molecules are approximately 80 nucleotides in length. Their secondary structure includes four short double-helical elements and three loops (D, anti-codon, and T loops). Further hydrogen bonds mediate the characteristic L-shaped molecular structure. tRNAs have two regions of fundamental functional importance: the anti-codon, which is responsible for specific mRNA codon recognition, and the 3' end, to which the tRNAs corresponding amino acid is attached (by aminoacyl-tRNA synthetases). tRNAs cope with the degeneracy of the genetic code in two manners: having more than one tRNA (with a specific anti-codon) for a particular amino acid; and 'wobble' base-pairing, i.e. permitting non-standard base-pairing at the 3rd anti-codon position. RNAcentral also lists the same sequence under 1 other name. Lineage: Bacteria; Candidatus Berkelbacteria. The record is from RNAcentral.